RNAcentral lists this unclassified non-coding RNA (359 nucleotides) under Bombus terrestris (buff-tailed bumblebee). RNAcentral's name for it is "misc RNA ENSBTSG00005030663.1". The record is from RNAcentral. Lineage: Eukaryota; Metazoa; Arthropoda; Insecta; Hymenoptera; Apidae.
CUUUUGUAAGAAAGUAAUAAAUCAAUAAAUAUAAAAAUAUUCUAUUAUUACGUAUUUUUAAAGACCAGUCAUUUUGACUGGUUUUGGUAGAAAUAGCUUCGUGUUAACUAUCGGUAGUUCUAGUGUUAAAACUUUAACUGCCACGUUGGUCAUAUAUGACCGGUCACUGUUUCUCCUGUGACGCCACGGUGGUCAUUGGUGGCCAGAGCGCUUGAAAUUCUUAUAAUUGUAAAAAUUGUAUGAAAAUUGACAGUUAGGGCAUUUUGAAUAUAACCGAUAAAUAGAAGAUACUUUGAAAUAAAAGGUGCCCCAUUGAACAAUUAAGCAUUUUUAUUAGAACAUCAAUAAAAAAAAAAAGA